Molecule: long non-coding RNA, 1808 nt
Organism: Cannabis sativa
Lineage: Eukaryota; Viridiplantae; Streptophyta; Magnoliopsida; Rosales; Cannabaceae
Exons: 3
Source: RefSeq, a predicted model, not a curated record
AUUUAAUUUAAGAAAUAAAACUGUUCACAUCAAUUGACACUUCUGAGCUCAUACCAAAACGAGUCUUUGGCUUCCUAGUCCCUCCCUACCCACUUUGAUUUCUCUCAUUUUCUCGCCAACCAAUCAACCUAAAACCAUGUCUCCCUCUCAAAAAGAUUCCAAAGCCAAUCUAUUUCAGCUUCCUAAUCCCCAAACCUCAACAAACCCACCACCACUCCAAUCCUCAAACGAAAAUCCAAGACGACGUGAAAAUCAUCGUCAGAUUCAAGUCCAGGCACAACUACAUUCGCCUUCUGGCAGUUUCGAGGGCGGACCCGGCGGCACGUUUGAUUCUCAAAAUGUAUGCCGAAGUGGUGAUUCGUGAUUGGAAGCUACUACUAGAAAUGGGUUCUCUGGGAUACCGGUUGAUUUGUUUUCGAAAAUCGAAGGGUUGUGCAUCCCUGAGCUAAACACUUGGGCAAAGCUCAGAAAAUGUUUGAGAAAAAGUGGGAGAGUAAUGGUGAAGGUUGGAGGUAGCUGUAUUGACUAUCGAGGCUGAGGAUUCUCGUAGAGAUGGUAAACGAGUAAUAGAGGAGGCAUUAAAGGCGAUGAGUCAUGCUUUUGAUGGAAAGCUUUUCGUUUUGAGCCUUGGGAAAAGGGAUGGAUUUGGUGGAAUUCUUGUGAUGGGAGGAGCCAGCUGUAUAACCAAAGAUAUUAAAAAAUUGAUUUUGAUCCAGUGCAGAUAUAGUUUUUUUUGGAACUUGAGCUGACCCAAGUCAUUUGUGUGAUGUAUAGAAUAGUGGUACAACUUGGAAUUUUCAGAUUUGCUGCGUACAGAUUCUUUUCUCCUUUGUUCAUUUGUUGGGUUCUUUCAUUUAUUCUUAGUUAAGAAAUACCACCCAUAUACAAGGUCAAAUGUCAUCUUCUGGUAAAGUGGUAAUUGAAGUAUUGGUACGGUAGAAUAAUCUGCUUUUUAUAUUACGUUUUGGUGUGAGACAGUAUUCAUCGUAAAAUGAGAAGUCAAUAAGGUAAUCACUAGCUGUUUUACUAAAUACCCUUUUCAUGGAAGUCAGUGAAAUUAGGUGUUCGAACUCAAACAAAGUCAACUGAUUUCUCAAAUAUUAUAGAGCCGAAAUUAGGUGAUACACACUUCCUCGGAUGAAGCUUUAUUAUAAUAAGCACACACAAAUACACCAAAAACCCAACUCCUUAAAUUUGCUUAGAACUUCUUACCUUCUGUGAUUGCCUUCUACAUUUUCUUUCUACUUAAAAGUCACAGGGUUCCAGAAGCUGUUAUUUGUUGCUGAUACUAAAGAUGAGGGCUUUCUCUACAAAGCUCUUUAUGAUAUUUAUUCUCUCUGGCCUAUAUCUUGCUACUUCUGCAUUCAACCCUUAUGGUAAUGAGAAGAGCUCAUUCCAUGUUCUCACCCGGAUAGACAAGUUUAGGAUGAUACUGGCAAAAAUGGAAGCUUAUGACAACUCGAUGGUGCACUCCAGGAGUCUUGGGUCACGCCGCAUAUUGCCACCACCGCCACCUACCAAAAAUAGGCAGUCAGCUAUGCGUGCUCCGGCUCCACCUCCUCUAGUUGCUUAUUAAAUGUCUAAAAUGAAAGUUUAAGAAUGAUCUUUGUCCAAGGUUUCAUGUAAGUGCGUUCUUCUUCAAAUGCCAAUAUGUAAAAAGCAUCUUGUGGAAAAAGACUAGUUGACUAGUUCAGUUUUCUAAUUGAGUAGCCCAACUGAAUGUCUAUUUGUCAGACUGGAGUCUACUGUGUAUGAAAAAACGUAAUAAAUAAAAUCUGAAGGACAAGACUCUCUUAGCUUCUCACUAA